UACGGGGGGAGCAAGCGUUGUUCGGAUUUACUGGGCGUAAAGGGCGCGUAGGCGGCUUUUCAAGUCGGGCGUGAAAUCUCCGGGCUUAACCCGGAAGGGUCGUUCGAUACUGUUGAGCUAGAGUGUGGAAGAGGCAACUAGAAUUCCGUGUGUAGCGGUGAAAUGCGUAGAUAUACGGAGGAAUACCUGAGGCGAAGGCGGGUUGCUGGGCCAACACUGACGCUGAGGCGCGAAAGCCAGGGGAGCAAACGGG
This 253-nucleotide ribosomal RNA is filed under the name uncultured bacterium. RNAcentral describes it as "partial 16S ribosomal RNA". It matches the Rfam family "Bacterial small subunit ribosomal RNA", at positions 524 to 776 of the family's 1533-position model. The record is from RNAcentral.